This 1065-nucleotide long non-coding RNA is filed under the name Oryctolagus cuniculus (rabbit). Its description in RNAcentral is "lncRNA (ENSOCUG00000037633.1)". The record is from RNAcentral. Lineage: Eukaryota; Metazoa; Chordata; Mammalia; Lagomorpha; Leporidae.
GGCCUUGCAGGAGCAGGGUAGGCGCCAGAGCCGAGUGGCGGUGGCGGGGUGAUGGCGUUUGCAGGGCGAAAGGAACUGGGAUCCUGGGGGGAAACCUCAGCAGGGGCUGAGUGCGCGGGCUUUGCGGUUGAGAAAGGUCCAGCCAGGCUCUCGGCGCGCCCAGCAGCGCGUGGGGGGGCGUCCUGUCCACAGUGGCCUGCUUCCUUUCCCUGUCAAGGCUGGGGUGACUCAGAGCCCCUGCAGGGAGCACGAGUCUCCAGCGCUUCAGGGCCUGCGUCUCUCGGCCAGACUGUAGCCCGUGACCUUCCCAGGGCCAACCAAGGGCGAGGCGUGUUGCCCAACAAGGCCUCCGCUCCAUGGGCCGCGGGGGAAAUCGCCAGGCACGAGCCCUGUGGGCCGGGGCGCAGCCACCCACGCAUGCCCGAGGAGGCCUUCGGGGAGCAGAGACCGGAGCUGAGAGGCUGCGGAGCCAGCCCCGCACCACUGACAGCCGGGGCACGUCUGCGGAGCCCGGGGGAACCAUCCACGCAGGAGCCCUACGUCCUGGGAGCUGGGGACACGCCUGCAAGAGGGCAACCAGGUGCCAGUGUUGGCGAGCAGAAUCGCCCCCCACUCGGGCCCUCCUCCUGGGCCAGGCUCCAGCUUCGGGCAGGAUCCCUGCGGGAUGCUCUGGCACACGCAAGGAGAGUCCUCAGCCUUGGAAAUGUAAAUGAAAACCAGACUCCUCCUCUCUGAGACCUUCAGGGGGACAGAAUGAACAAACCUGCCUGGCGUCCACUCACACCCGAAGCUGCCCCGUCUGAACUUGGGUGGAGGGAAGCUGGUGGAUUUUAACACCAUUUCUUUCCACCGUGGCACCAGAAGAGCUCCUUGCAUUGAAUAGCUCUUCUAUUUCAGUGUGCAGUGUUGCAGCCGACUGAAUGGGCUUGCCUUCUGCCGAGGCAGUCUUGGAAGACGGAAGUCAUCUGUGAUUUCCCAGGAAGCUCUUCACCAGACCACCUCCUGUCCUUUUCUUUUUAAUUAUUUAAAAAUAAAAGUAUGUUUGCUUCCCUCUUGAGUGUCCGG